AAAAAAAAAAUAAAGAAUUUAAAGCAAUGAAAAAUAUUUCAAAUAUUUUGGAGGGAAAUAUAACAACUCAAGACGAUAUAUCUGAAGAACUAACCGCUGCUGAUAUGGCAUAUAUGAAGAUUACCCCAAUGACUUCUAGUGACGUCGAACAAAGUUUCUCAUUGUUCAGUGUAACACAGUUAAUAAAUGAGGUAAAAAAACGUAC
This is a non-coding RNA of Cinara cedri, 205 nucleotides long. NCBI's taxonomy places the organism in Eukaryota, Metazoa, Arthropoda, Insecta, Hemiptera, Aphididae. The record is from the annotation of a GenBank genome assembly.